UGGGCAGAAGUUCAGUGGUAGAGCUCCCGCUUCGUAGGCGGGAAGACCUGGGUUCGAUUCCCGGCUGAUUUG
RNAcentral lists this transfer RNA (72 nucleotides) under Toxocara canis (dog roundworm). It matches the Rfam family "tRNA". Rfam says of the family: Transfer RNA (tRNA) molecules are approximately 80 nucleotides in length. Their secondary structure includes four short double-helical elements and three loops (D, anti-codon, and T loops). Further hydrogen bonds mediate the characteristic L-shaped molecular structure. tRNAs have two regions of fundamental functional importance: the anti-codon, which is responsible for specific mRNA codon recognition, and the 3' end, to which the tRNAs corresponding amino acid is attached (by aminoacyl-tRNA synthetases). tRNAs cope with the degeneracy of the genetic code in two manners: having more than one tRNA (with a specific anti-codon) for a particular amino acid; and 'wobble' base-pairing, i.e. permitting non-standard base-pairing at the 3rd anti-codon position. Lineage: Eukaryota; Metazoa; Nematoda; Chromadorea; Rhabditida; Toxocaridae. The record is from Rfam by way of RNAcentral.